GGGACUUCCUGUAUUUAGGCCACUGCUUCCUGGGGCCAAUCCUUUUGCCCAAGCCCUAGCCAGAUGUCCCUAGCCAUGGAACCAAGGAGCCCCCCCCCGACCCAGUACUGCUGACAAAACAGUCCAGAGCAGCUUAUCUUUGACCAGAGUUAAUGGUUUCCUCAAGGAAAAUCACAAGGAGGUUUUAAUUGAAUCUAGAGGCCUGUUCCACCAGUGUUGAUGCUCCUUCACAAAAGAGUCUAUGGUGGAUAUCGUCAACCCUAGUUGAGAAACACUCAAUUAUGCACUCACUCAUGCUAAGAUGGAAAAAAAGAAGGAAGACACGGAAAGGAGAUGUUCAAGACAGAAAAGGAAAAAACUGAGUGAUAUCGGCAACAAGGCUCUGGCACCGAUUUCAUCUACCUCUCCACCUUAUUCCAGAGGAAGCACACAGGACUGUGCCAUCACAGUAUUUCAACAUAUCUGCUGCUGCAGAUUGCUUUGAGAUGAGUCAAUCAUUUUGCUAACCUGCCCACACAGUAGAAAGGAAUGACAGUUGUAUAUAUAAUAGGAUGUGAAAUUAGUGUGUGAGAGUGUGAGUGAGUGCAUCAACAAUCCCUUUAUUAUUUUUUCUCUGUAUGAGCUUGUAGGAACAGGAUGUACCUUUGACUCCUGUUAUUUCAGCUUGGAAAAGACAUGAUUUAUUUAAAUGUGUUGUGUAAUCACUGCUUGCUUGCUGUGUAGAUUUGCCAUGGUGCAUUUUCAAGAAGCUUUAGCCUCCCUAUUUGUUUGCCAUGCAAAAUUCUCAUCAGCAGAUGCACACGUCCCACAUCAUUUGAGUGAGUCUUGGUUAGUGAGGUUUGGAUUCUUAUUUGAAUGUUUCCAUGUAACUUUCCAUCCACAUCCUCCAGUAAAGCCAAAAAAGACAAUUCAUUUCAC
Long non-coding RNA from Lates calcarifer (barramundi perch), 918 nucleotides. RefSeq lists it as uncharacterized. The record is from RefSeq and is a predicted model, not a curated record. The transcript has 5 exons. NCBI's taxonomy places the organism in Eukaryota, Metazoa, Chordata, Actinopteri, Centropomidae.